Molecule: ribosomal RNA, 437 nt
Filed under: uncultured bacterium
Lineage: Bacteria
Description: bacterial SSU rRNA
Rfam family: Bacterial small subunit ribosomal RNA
Source: RNAcentral
CCUACGGGGGCACCAGUGGGGAAUAUUGGACAAUGGGCGAAAGCCUGAUCCAGCAAUGCCGCGUGUGUGAAGAAGGUCUUCGGAUUGUAAAGCACUUUCGACGGGGACGAUGAUGACGGUACCCGUAGAAGAAGCCCCGGCUAACUUCGUGCCAGCAGCCGCGGUAAGACGGGGGGGGCAAGAGUUCUUCGGAAUGACUGGGCGUAAAGGGCACGUAGGCGGUGAAUCGGGUUGAAAGUGAAAGUCGCCAAAAACUGGCGGAAGACUCUCGAAACCAAUUCACUUGAGUGAGACAGAGGAGAGUGGAAUUUCGUGUGUAGGGGUGAAAUCCGGAGAUCUACGAAGGAACGCCAAAAGCGAAGGCAGCUCUCUGGGUCCCUACCGACGCUGGAGUGCGAAAGCAUGGGGAGCGAAUGGGAUUAGAUACCCUUGUAGUC